Neofelis nebulosa (Clouded leopard) is the source of this 3949-nucleotide long non-coding RNA. RefSeq lists it as uncharacterized. NCBI's taxonomy places the organism in Eukaryota, Metazoa, Chordata, Mammalia, Carnivora, Felidae. The record is from RefSeq and is a predicted model, not a curated record. The transcript is spliced from 2 exons.
GACUGGUGUCCCCUCCGCGGGAAGAGAAGAUCCGGAAAGGAGCCCCUUUCGCGGGGAGAGGAGAGAAGCGUCGGGACGUGUGCCCCUUCCGCGGGGCGCUGGGAAAGGGGCCGGGACAGCACCGAGCUCGGCCCCAGGCGCCUCUGCGGGACUAGGCGGUUGGAGGCUGCCUUUCCUAAGCAAACCAAUGGAGUGAAUGAACGUCUUAUUAAUCUUGAUUUAAGGGAGCUUACAGAGAUGCAGGCAUACCUCGCUCUGUUGUGCUGCUCUGUGUCACACGUCACUGAUCAGGCACGUUUUACAAAGUGAAGGUUUGCGGCCACCCUGCUCAGGAAGGAGGGAGUCGUCAGCACCAUUUUCCCCACAGCAUUUGGUCCCUUCAUGUCUCUGUCACGUUUUGGUAAUUCUUGCAAUUAAAACUUUUUUUUUUUUUAUCAUUAUUCUAUUUGUUAAUGGUGACCUGUGAUCAGUGAUUAUGACUGGCUGAACGCUUAACUGAUGGUUACCAUUUUUUAGCAGCGAUUUUUAAUUAAGGUAUGUAGUUUUUUUAGACGUAAUGCUAUUGCACACUUAAUAGACUAUAGUGUGAAAAUAACUUCUAUGUGCAGUGAGUUUAUCUGACUCGUUUGAUGGCGAUAUUCACUUUAUUGUGAUGGUCUACAACCAGACCCACAAUACCUCCAAGGUAUGGCUGUCUAUAUUACACAGUGAAGCAAGAUAAAAAUGGAUGAAAUAAAGAAGGAUGAGGCAAAAAGAAAGCGAGGCUUCAGGAAAGCGAAAUGUGAAAUGGGGGUUCUAAUGAGGUUAGUAACAUUCAUUGCAUCAAAUCUCAUGUACUUUCUGGAGGCAGGCCGUAAAGUGCAUUCUGGGCUUUCUGGCAAGCACAGACAUGAUGUAGGGCUCACUUUGUCUUUCUCACACCUGACAUGGAUUUUCUUAAAUUCCAUGUAAGAUCUGACAGCCCACCAAGACUUUUCUGUGGUGACGGGAGAAGCCCAGACGGGAUGCACUGAAUGACAUUGAAGGCCGCGUGUCCCUAUUAGUCACGUUUAACAAGUGCCGGGGAGCCUGCUGUGGGUGUCAGCACCUAAUAGCAUGAAGAUUGGAGAUAGCUCAUGAUCGUGAAGACCAUCACAGACGGUCUUGUCCCCAUCCUGCGUGGAUUGCCCUGAAGUCAAAGUCAAAUGACGAUCUUCCUUUGCUUUUCUCUGACACUGUCUGGGCAGGGGUUAACGCACAGCAGGCAGGCAAGGAGAUGCCUUUACUGUCAGGAAAUAGUUACGCUCCCCCACCCCCACCCCCACCCCGCCCCAAGCAGUGUAGCACAGAGGCUUGUUAUAACCAUGGUACCAUACUUUGUAAAUAGUGUCUUUGCCUUUUUUUUCUUUUUUUAAACCAUUGGGAGUGAGUGCGUUAACAAUGCCUAUAUGAUUUUCCUUGAUGCUUUAUUUCAGGAAAGCUCCUUUCGUGUGCUAACACGUUUUACUUUUGAAAAUACCAUGGUUCCUAUAAAUGGUUUAAUUUUACAUUGUCUUGUCAAGUACCGAACGUAGAGCAUAGCUUUAGACGCAUGACAUAUAGGAAGAUCGAUCAGUGAACACAUUUUUUUAAAGUACCAGUUGUAUGUCAACUGUUAAGCAAAUUAUAACAUUAUUAUUACUUUGUAGAAGGUAAAGUAUGGAAGGAAUUUAAUCAGAGUACAUGUCCAUAGGAGUUAAGCUAGUGAUGCUAAACUUCUGUAACAUUUUUGUAAUAUUGAAAGUAAUGGGAAAUAACCUAAGUUCUUCCAAAUACAUUAAAUUAACAUUCAUCAGCUGCCAGGACUAACUAGUCUCUCCAUAUCUGUCCCCUUUCUUCUGCUUGCCAUUGACCAGCCUCCGAAUCUGGCCCCACUCUCUUAGCCAGCCUUCCCGUGUGCCCUGACAACAACUCAAUAUUCUAAAUUCUCUGAGCCUAACUCAAGUCUUAUCUCAUCAGAUGCCUUUUCCCUCACCUCCCAGCUUAGAUUAUCGGCUCCUUGUGGGGGCAGGGAGGCACGUCAACUCUUCCCUUCCCUGCUCCACCUAGCGUAACGAAGCCUGGGAGCUGGAGUUUCGUAACCACUGCCCGCUGACAAGCUGACACGUGUAGUGUGACUUAUUGGAUACGGCAGGGGGGAUGUGAUGAGGGUGUGUUUCCUCAGGCCAAGAGCAAACCUGACUGUCACCCUGCUUCUCGCACCAGUUUAGUCUUGUCUGCUAGUCAUUUGGACACAGAUGCCACAGGAUCUCCCAGGCAGAGCCGUUCAAAGUCCCUAGGGGAUUGGGGUUUUCAUGUAAGGGGUCUUGGAGAGUCCUGGCCUGUCCCCGUGUAAAAUAGCUAGGUCUGACACCUGCAUCAUCUUUCCGGCUUUCUUACGAUUGGCCAGAAGCUUGCCAUCUAGGAAUGGGUAUCGGUAACAGCUGUUUGCUUUAAUAUAAUACAGUAGGAUGAGUACCAGGGUGUUGUGUUUUGUUUUUUCCAGCUCUACCACUCAGUAAGUGAGAAAUCUCAGGGAAGUCACCUUGUAUCUCUGCAUCAGGGCCUUACCUGUUUUCUAAAUCUAUGAGGAGUGAUUCAGGAAAUUAAUGUAGUGGUCAGCAUCCUCACUUUUUAAAAUCAGAGUACCUGGUAUGGGAUUUGGGAAGUUUUUGUUUCAGGGGCACAUGCACACAUGCGUGUAUGGGGUGUGUGUGUGUGUGUGUGUGUGUGUGUGUGUGUGUGUGUACUGGGUUCUGAUUCUUUCUCUGGGACACAGGCAAAAACUACUGAAAGCCCCUGAACCAGAGAAUUCCUGAGUUCUCUUUAAAUCUUAGUGUUCUACAGCGAUUCUCUUCCAUGGGAUGUGUCUGUUACAACAGUUGAUUUGGCAGUAACCUAAGGCUGCACGAGCGUAGAUAACCGCCGUGGGUACAGAAUUCAACGGCAGAUGGUCUCCCGCGAGACUGGAGUGCAGAAUUGUCUUUUUCUGAUUUCUUCAGGUCAUCAAAAUGUUUCAAAAAAGCAUGACGGCUUAUUUCCAUCACAACUUUCCCCAUGUUUUACAGAGAGAUUCCAAUGAUACUUUGGCACGACUGAGGUACAGGUGAUUAAUAUUUGACUAUUUUUUUGUUUGCAAAUGGGAGCAGACUUUCCCAGUAUUCGUUUAGUGAAAGGAUCCACAUUUCAAUGAGUAGAGUCACCUUACAGUCCUCUGCAAGUAACAGAACUCCAACUCAGACGGGCUAAAGCAUAAAAGGGAACUUAUUGACUUUUAUGAGACCUGGCUUUGGAGUUGUCUUCAGGCACAACUGGUUCCCGAAGCUCAAGCGAUACCCUUAGGGACCCAUCUCCCCCUCCGUUGACUCUACUCUCUUCUAUGUUGAUUUGACUCUCAUCUCCACAGCAUAGCGGGAUGGACUCCUCAAAGCUCCAGGUUUACAUUUUGCCAAUUUAGCAAACGUAUCCGGGAAAACGGCGCGUCUCUGCCAGUCGUUCCAGGAAAUGUUCUGUUCUUGGCUCAGCUGGACUCGUGUGUCCACUCACCGGAAUAGGAGGAGGCCGUACUCUCGUUAGCAAGGCCCGACUCUCCCUCCCUGGGAACAAGUGUUGGGGUCAGCACCACCUGAACUCUGCAGAGGACAGGAGCGUCUCCCAAAGGAGAAACAAGGGAGGCUAGCCAGGCAUCUGGGAGGAAGCCGGUACUUUGUGAUGUUCAGCCUCGAUGGUCACGUUCCUAAAGAAAGCACCAUUCAUCCUGAAACCACAGAAACUCGUCAUCAGGCGGAGUCCGUGAUUUUAUCCUCAUGGUCUCAUCUUAAAGGAGAAGACACCGGAACCCUCACCUUUUAUUAGGUGCUGACUAACAGUUCCUAGGACCAUUUUCAGAAAAUGUGAUUCAAGUCCUUAAUAUACUAUACACUGUGGUUUGGAUUAAUCCAUAAAGAAUUCA